ACCGAAACCGGUUGGUUUGGAUAAAACGACGCAGUUUCGCGCUUAAGGGGGAGAAACAAAACGCGCUUCUCCAUCUCCUUCCUUAUUCCUUCGAACAGAACACACCCUGCCUCAACCCCGGAAAAACCCUAGCCGCCACCACCGCCGCAGGGAGGAGCCGUGUUUGCCGCCGUCCGUCACAGUCAGGGGCUUUUCUCCUCGAGUCUUCGUGCGUCACAAUCAGGGGAGUUCUCCAAGUCUUUGAUCUGUUCAUAGUCACCAGUCGCAGGUGCAUCGCUUCUUCCUCCAGCUCGGCGGCCGUCGUGUUGUCGCCAUUGUUUGUCGCCAUCUGUCGCAGUCAGGGUUUUAAAUGGCAAAGUGAUGCGAAAAGUGGGUGUGGAGGUUGUGGGGUUGGGAGCCCUAAAAUUCACUGGAUUUCUUAGAGAACAAUGCAACAAAAUAACAUGAGUUUUGAAU
Non-coding RNA from Arachis ipaensis, 456 nucleotides. Lineage: Eukaryota; Viridiplantae; Streptophyta; Magnoliopsida; Fabales; Fabaceae. The record is from RefSeq and is a predicted model, not a curated record.